RNAcentral lists this non-coding RNA (131 nucleotides) under human gut metagenome. Its description in RNAcentral is "RT-14 RNA". It matches the Rfam family "RT-14 RNA". From Rfam's summary of the family: Cloacimonetes, Firmicutes, Proteobacteria. The record is from RNAcentral.
CUCUAAUAUUAUUCGAGAUUAUGUAUUUUAAGAAAUGCAUACAGUGAAAUAUUAGAUAUUAAAGGGGUUUAUUCCAUCCUUAAGUGGUAAAUAUAUAAAAAAGGCGAGGUAUGAGUAAAAAUUGAAAAUAU